Molecule: ribosomal RNA, 253 nt
Filed under: uncultured bacterium
Lineage: Bacteria
Description: partial 16S ribosomal RNA
Rfam family: Bacterial small subunit ribosomal RNA
Source: RNAcentral
UACGUAGGUCCCGAGCGUUAUCCGGAAUUAUUGGGCGUAAAGGGUGCGCAGGUGGUUAUGUAAGUCUGGUGUGAAAUUUUUGGGCUCAACCCAAAAAGGUCAUCGGAAACUGGGGAACUUGAGUGCAGAAGAGAAGAGCGGAAUUCCACGUGUAGCGGUGAAAUGCGUAGAGAUGUGGAGGAACACCAGUGGCGAAGGCGGCUCUUUGGUCUGUAACUGACGCUGAGGCGCGAAAGCGUGGGGAUCAAACAGG